RNAcentral lists this ribosomal RNA (495 nucleotides) under uncultured bacterium. Its description in RNAcentral is "bacterial SSU rRNA". It matches the Rfam family "Bacterial small subunit ribosomal RNA", at positions 903 to 1397 of the family's 1533-position model. The record is from RNAcentral.
AAAUGAAUUGACGGGGGCCCGCACAAGCAGCGGAGCAUGUGGUUUAAUUCGAAGCAACGCGAAGAACCUUACCAGGUCUUGACAUCCUUUGACCAUCCUAGAGAUAGGAAAUUCCCUUCGGGGACAAAGAGACAGGUGGUGCAUGGUUGUCGUCAGCUCGUGUCGUGAGAUGUUGGGUUAAGUCCCGCAACGAGCGCAACCCUUGUAUUUAGUUGCCAUCAGGUAAAGCUGGGCACUCUAGAUAGACUGCCGUAGAUAAUACGGAGGAAGGUGGGGAUGACGUCAAAUCAUCAUGCCCCUUAUGACCUGGGCUACACACGUGCUACAAUGGCCUGAACAACGGGUUGCGAAAUGGCAACAUGGAGCUAAUCCCACAAAUCAGGUCUCAGUUCGGAUUGCAGGCUGCAACUCGCCUGCAUGAAGUCGGAGUUGCUAGUAAUCGCGAAUCAGAAUGUCGCGGUGAAUGCGUUCCCGGGCCUUGUACACACCGCCCGU